UUGUAAUUUGUGGGGUCCAGUGCAAAAUGAAACUGCAGGGCCCCUUAUUCAAAAAACAGGAGGAAAGCUUUUUUCCUUUCUUCUGUGGUCUUCCAUGUCACAGCGGUUUUUAAUUUGUGAUUUAAUGUCAUGCACCCUUCAGGCAUGGGGAUAUAGGCAAGGCGAGUACAGACCCUCACCAGCUUCCGGACCUUCCUGAGGAAGCUGCAGUUUACAGGGAAACCUCUGAGCUCUUUUUGGAGCAAAACUGACUGCAGCUGGCAGCACGCAGUUACUUAGGGUGAUUAACGAAUGCAUUUGAAAAUUCCCUCCUGCUUCAGCCUCAGCCUGUGCCUGAGCUAUGGUCAGUGCAGCAGUGCAUUUCUGUAUAAUCUCUUUUGACAACUGAGAGGGGGGCCAACCCACAAGACUAACCCAAUUACAGCAAAAGAGAGACCUGGCUGCUCCCUGUCGACAAGGUGAACACAAGGGUAUCCCCUUUCGGGGAUGCGGUGCUUCAGGACCAGUGGGCUGCCGGCACGGGAAGUACUUUCCUGCUCCAGCAUCUUGAGAUAUUUUUGCUUUGUGACAAACGGUGGCUGUCACUCCUGGGCUGUGUCAAUUAGGCACAAUCUGCUUGCACCCCCACAGCUGGGCCUGAGAUACUUCAGCACAGGAAGAGAUAUGCAAUGGUCAGCUUGUCCUGGCAGAUGCUAUCCAUGGCAGUGCUUCCCUGCCUGGGCCUGGGGAGAGGCCCUCCUGGGAGAUUCCUCUUCUGGCUGAGCCUGUACCUGGGCCUGUGUGCAGAAAAACCACCUACAAGGACUCCUCAAACUCACAAUAAACAUAGACUGUUCUCAUAGACUCAGCUGGCAGAGAGGAGAAGCAGCGGGACAUCAGGACUAUGGCUGGACGUCAGAGAGAAGCAGCUUAACUUCAGAGGUGCAGCUUGAUGGUGUAACUUAGGAGAAGAAUCUGACUGGAGACGGCCAGACUUCAGAAGAAGAUGACCUACCCCCCCAUCCCCUUUUCAGCUUCCCUUCCCGCUGAGAGCCACUUUUAUUGGCAAUAAAAUCCUCCACAUUUACCACCUUUCAAUGUGUUCAUGUGACUUCAUUAUUCCUGGACACCGGACAAGAGCUCAGGGGCCACAGGUGUGGAUAUGAAA
RNAcentral lists this long non-coding RNA (1147 nucleotides) under Homo sapiens (human). RNAcentral's name for it is "HSALNT0032469". Lineage: Eukaryota; Metazoa; Chordata; Mammalia; Primates; Hominidae. The record is from RNAcentral.